RNAcentral lists this ribosomal RNA (254 nucleotides) under uncultured bacterium. RNAcentral describes it as "partial 16S ribosomal RNA". It matches the Rfam family "Bacterial small subunit ribosomal RNA", at positions 524 to 776 of the family's 1533-position model. The record is from RNAcentral.
UACGUAGGGUGCGAGCGUUGUCCGGAAUUAUUGGGCGUAAAGAGCUUGUAGGCGGUUUGUCGCGUCUGCUGUGAAAUCUCAAGGCUCAACCUUGAGCUUGCAUUGGAUACUGGCAGGCUAGAGUGCGGUAGAGGAUGGCGGAAUUCCCGGUGUAGCAGUGAAAUGCGUAGAGAUCGGGAGGAACAUCUGUGGCGAAGGCGGCCAUCUGGACCAGCACUGACACUGAGGCACGGAAAGCGUGGGGAGCAAACAGG